This 628-nucleotide ribosomal RNA is filed under the name uncultured fungus. RNAcentral describes it as "eukaryotic LSU rRNA". It matches the Rfam family "Eukaryotic large subunit ribosomal RNA", at positions 24 to 664 of the family's 3401-position model. Lineage: Eukaryota; Fungi. The record is from RNAcentral.
CCCGCUGAACUUAAGCAUAUCAAUAAGCGGAGGACAAGAAACCAACAGGGAUUGCCUUAGUAACGGCGAGUGAAGCGGCAAAAGCUCAGAUUUGAAAUCUGUUGCCAUAGAGGCAUCCGAAUUGUAAUCUGUAGAGGAGUAUUCGAGUAUGGCUUUGGCUUAAGUUCCUUGUAACAGGGCGUCAUAGAGGGUGAGAACCCCGUUUACGGCCUUUGUCUUAUGCUUAUGUGAAUCUCUUUCGAUGAGUCGAGUUGUUUGGGAAUGCAGCUCUAAAUGGGUGGUAAACUCCAUCUAAAGCUAAAUACUGGCAAGAGACCGAUAGCGCACAAGUAGAGUGAUCGAAAGAUGAAAAGAACUCUGAACAGAGAGUUAAAUAGUACGUGAAAUUGUUGAAAGGGAAGCACUUACUACCAGACACACUUGUAGCUGAUCAGCCUCCAAUUUUGGUGGUGCACUCAGUUGUAAGUGGGUCAGCAUCAGUUACAGCGGUGGGAAAAAGACUUUGGGAAUGUGGCUUCCUUCUGGAAGUGUUAUAGCCCAUUGUGUAAUGCUACCUGUAGUGACUGAGGACCGCGCUUCGGCAAGGAUGCUGGCAUAAUGGUCGUAAGUGACCCGUCUUGAAACACGG